RNAcentral lists this ribosomal RNA (491 nucleotides) under uncultured bacterium. RNAcentral's name for it is "partial 16S ribosomal RNA". It matches the Rfam family "Bacterial small subunit ribosomal RNA", at positions 29 to 507 of the family's 1533-position model. The record is from RNAcentral.
AGUGAACGCUGGCGGUAGGCCUAACACAUGCAAGUCGAACGGCAGCACAGUAAGAGCUUGCUCUUACGGGUGGCGAGUGGCGGACGGGUGAGGAAUACAUCGGAAUCUACUUUUUGGGGGGGAUAACGGAGGGAAACUUAAGCUAAUACCGCAUAAGAACUACGGGUGGAAGCAAGGGAACUUCGGACCUUGCCCGGUUGAAUGAAGCGAUGUCGGAUUAGCUAGUUGGCGGGGUAAAGGCCCACCAAGGCGACGAUCCGUAGCUGGUCUGAGAGGAUGAUCAGCCACACUGGAACUGAGACACGGUCCAGACUCCUACGGGAGGCAGCAGUGGGGAAUAUUGGACAAUGGGCGCAGGCCUGAUCCAGCCAUACCGCGUGGGUGAAGAAGGCCUUCGGGUUGUAAAGCCCUUUUGUUGGGAAAGAAAAGCAGCAGGUUAAUACCCCGCUGUUCUGACGGUACCCAAAGAAUAAGCACCGGCUAACUUCGUG